GACGAACGCUGGCGGCGUGCUUAACACAUGCAAAUCGAACGAUGAACCCGGAGCUUGCUCCGGUGGAUUAGUGGCAACGGGUGAGUAACACGUGAGUAACCUGCCCUUGACUCUGGGAUAACUGCGGGAAACUGUAGCUAAUACCGGAUACGACCCUCGGAGGCAUCUCCUGGGGGUGGAAAGAAUUUCGGUCAAGGAUGGACUCGCGGCCUAUCAGCUAGUUGGUGAGGUAAAGGCUCACCAAGGCGACGACGGGUAGCCGGCCUGAGAGGGUGACCGGCCACACUGGGACUGAGACACGGCCCAGACUCCUACGGGAGGCAGCAGUGGGGAAUAUUGCACAAUGGGCGCAAGCCUGAUGCAGCAACGCCGCGUGAGGGAUGACGGCCUUCGGGUUGUAAACCUCUUUUAGCAGGGAAGAAGCGAAAGUGACGGUACCUGCAGAAAAAGCACCGGCUAACUACGUGCCAGCCGCCGCAGUAA
Molecule: ribosomal RNA, 483 nt
Filed under: uncultured bacterium
Lineage: Bacteria
Description: partial 16S ribosomal RNA
Rfam family: Bacterial small subunit ribosomal RNA
Source: RNAcentral